UCUCCUGGAAAAGGGUGGUAAUGCCGGAUGCUCCAUCACAUCGCAUGGUGUUUUGGGAAAGCCUUUGCGGCAUGGGAUGGGGUCGCGUCCUAUCAGCUUGAUGGCGGGGUAACGGCCCACCAUGGCUUCGACGGGUAGCCGGCCUGAGAGGGCGACCGGCCACAUUGGGACUGAGAUACGGCCCAGACUCCUACGGGAGGCAGCAGUGGGGAAUAUUGCACAAUGGGCGCAAGCCUGAUGCAGCGACGCCGCGUGAGGGAUGGAGGCCUUCGGGUUGUAAACCUCUUUUGUUAGGGAGCAAGGCAUUUUGUGUUGAGUGUACCUUUCGAAUAAGCACCGGCUAACUACGUGCCAGCAGCCGCGGUAAUACGUAGGGUGCAAGCGUUAUCCGGAAUUAUUGGGCGUAAAGGGCUCGUAGGCGGUUCGUCGCGUCCGGUGUGAAAGUCCAUCGCUUAACGGUGGAUCCGCGCCGGGUACGGGCGGGCUUGAGUGCGGUAGGGGAGACUGGAAUUCCCGGUGUAACGGUGGAAUGUGUAGAUAUCGGAAAAGAACACCA
RNAcentral lists this ribosomal RNA (556 nucleotides) under Bifidobacterium breve. RNAcentral describes it as "bacterial SSU rRNA". It matches the Rfam family "Bacterial small subunit ribosomal RNA", at positions 146 to 711 of the family's 1533-position model. The record is from RNAcentral. Lineage: Bacteria; Bacillati; Actinomycetota; Actinomycetes; Bifidobacteriales; Bifidobacteriaceae.